RNAcentral lists this long non-coding RNA (1508 nucleotides) under Equus caballus (horse). Its description in RNAcentral is "lncRNA (ENSECAG00000057392.1)". Lineage: Eukaryota; Metazoa; Chordata; Mammalia; Perissodactyla; Equidae. The record is from RNAcentral.
GGAGCGCGUGCUCAGUGCGGCUCUGCGGUUGCAGGAAACCUUCCGUGGUAUUGCAUGGCGUUCAAAGCUUUCCUAAACUCAGAAGAUCUGUGCUGGAGUCUUCCAAUUUACCAUGUACUAGGUGUACAACUUAGAAGAGAAGAUCACUCCUGGAUAGUUUUGUCUCCUGGCCACCAGGAGUUUGUGAAAGUUGGCAAGUGAGUAAAUACACAUUUUGACUGAGGACAGGAAUGGGGACUGAGAUGCUGCCUUUCUAGAAAGCUCCUGGUGAUGCUGAUGCUUCAUGGACCACUUUGAGGAUCUAAGGUACAGUGCUGCGUGUUAGUCAGCUCUGCAGUUUCAUCAACUUCUCGGCUUCUAUUGGAUGACUAGUCUCAAUGUUGGUGCCAUAGACUGUUGGGCCUCCCAAAUUUUGUGUGUCACAAAAUUACUCAAAGGACAUGGAUUGGCAUUGGCAAGGAGUAUUUUUUCUCUCACUCAAGACUACUUUUUACUUCAGAGGAAAUGGGGCCAAAUUGCAUUUCACCAAUUAUGGAAGGGAUCGAUUCUGGAAACCCGAGUUAAUGGCAUUAUGUUUCUGACUUCCUCCAGAGCUGUUCUAAUGCCCAUUACAGCUGGCUGCUGCUUAGUAGCCCGUCUACUAACCCGGCUCUGAGAAUAUCCAGAUCCUACCAAUGUGAUCAGAAUUACACUCAAAGAAAUAGGAUGGAAAAAGACAGUAAUUCAGAGGGUAGAGCUGUACUGAAAUCCAUCUGUGAAGAGGCUGGAAAGUGAGGAGACCCUGAGGAAGAAUUCGUGCAGUGUCUAUCCAGCAGAGCUGACGAUCGGGAAGGCGCUGCACUCUGAGUGGACGUGCCUGGGCCCUCCAUGGUUUUGGUGAAAUAUUCACAUGGUAGAAGACGCGAAAUACUCAAAAAGACAAGGAAACAGAUCCUCUCUAGAGCCUCGGAGGACACCUUGAUUUCAGCCCAGUGACGUUGACUUUGGCCUUCCGGCCUCCAGAACUAUAGGCUAUAAGAGAAUAAAUGUGUGUUGCUCUGAGCCACCAAUUUGUGUGCCUUGUCCCAGCAGCCACAGGAAGUGAAUGCACUGGUCACAUCCUGAACAGGCAGUAGUGGCCCCUUGGAGUCAGCAGCUCCCUCAAGACCUCCCCUGCGACAGGAGCACCCAAAACACAAGCACACCUUUCUCUUGCUAAUAACGAUUAAUCUCCAUUUAAAGUAAAACUUUAAAAGUUUUACUAAAAGACUUCCGACUACCUGGGGAGGCAUGACAUAGAUGAAGAGGACUGAAAACUCCACCCUGCCGCCAUGUGAGCUGGUCACCUAUGAGCCCGUGCCUCUCUUCUAUACUCUAAUGCUGGUCCUGGUCCAGUUUCCAGGAGCCAGGUGAAUGGAUAAACAAACUUCGGUACAUUCAUAUAAUGGAAUAUUAUUUAGUGAUGCAAAGAAAUGAGCUGUUAAGUCACAAAAAGACAUGAAGGAAACUGAAAUGCAUAUUGCCGAGUG